This 368-nucleotide ribosomal RNA is filed under the name Aethomys chrysophilus (red rock rat). Its description in RNAcentral is "partial 12S ribosomal RNA". Lineage: Eukaryota; Metazoa; Chordata; Mammalia; Rodentia; Muridae. The record is from RNAcentral.
GCUUAGCCCUAAACCUAAAUAAUUUAGCAACAAAAAUAUUUGCCAGAGAACUACUGGCCACCGCUUGAAACUCAAAGGACUUGGCGGUACUUUAUAUCCAUCUAGAGGAGCCUGUUCUAUAAUCGAUAAACCCCGCUAUACCUCACCAUCUCUUGCUAAUUCAGCCUAUAUACCGCCAUCUUCAGCAAACCCCAAAAGGGUCACAAAGUAAGCGCAAGAACAAACAUAAAAACGUUAGGUCAAGGUGUAGCCAAUGAGAUGGGAAGAAAUGGGCUACAUUUUCUUUUAAAAGAACAUUACGAAACCCUUUACGAAACUAAAGGAUAAAGGAGGAUUUAGUAGUAAAUUAAGAAUAGAGAGCUUAAUUG